UGAGGAAUAUUGGUCAAUGGGCGCAAGCCUGAACCAGCCAUCCCGCGUGCAGGAUGACGGCCCUAUGGGUUGUAAACUGCUUUUGUACACCAAGAAAAUACAGGACGUGUCCUGUUCUGACGGUAGUGUAUGAAUAAGCAUCGGCUAACUCCGUG
RNAcentral lists this ribosomal RNA (155 nucleotides) under uncultured bacterium. RNAcentral describes it as "partial 16S rRNA". It matches the Rfam family "Bacterial small subunit ribosomal RNA", at positions 355 to 507 of the family's 1533-position model. The record is from RNAcentral.